AGAGUUUGAUCCUGGCUCAGAUUGAACGCUGGCGGCAUGCUUUACACAUGCAAGUCGAACGGCAGCACGGGUGCUUGCACCUGGUGGCGAGUGGCGAACGGGUGAGUAAUGCACCGGAACGUACCCAGUAAUGGGGGAUAACACAUCGGAAGAUGUGCUAAUACCGCAUACGCCCUGAGGGGGAAAGCGGGGGAUCGUAAGACCUCGCGUUAUUAGAGCGGCCGAUGCCGGAUUAGCUAGUUGGUGGGGUAAAGGCUCACCAAGGCGACGAUCCGUAGCUGGUCUGAGAGGACGACCAGCCACACUGGGACUGAGACACGGCCCAGACUCCUACGGGAGGCAGCAGUGGGGAAUUUUGGACAAUGGGCGAAAGCCUGAUCCAGCCAUGCCGCGUGAGUGAAGAAGGCCUUCGGGUUGUAAA
Molecule: ribosomal RNA, 421 nt
Filed under: uncultured bacterium
Lineage: Bacteria
Description: bacterial SSU rRNA
Rfam family: Bacterial small subunit ribosomal RNA
Source: RNAcentral